RNA transcript from Rhinolophus ferrumequinum (greater horseshoe bat), 3433 nucleotides. It is a transcript of the gene named filamin binding LIM protein 1, with no coding region annotated. The transcript has 9 exons. Lineage: Eukaryota; Metazoa; Chordata; Mammalia; Chiroptera; Rhinolophidae. The record is from RefSeq and is a predicted model, not a curated record.
AUCAUUCCUUAGGGGAGCAGGGAGCCGAGGCAAUGGCCUCAAAGCCUGAGAAGCGGGUCGCCUCAUCAGUCUUUAUCACCCUGGCACCCCCACGUCGAGAUGAGGCUGUGGCUGAGGGAGUGAGGCGGGCAGCUUGUGAGGCCCGGCCUGGCUGCCCCUGGAAGUCUCCUGCCCCCACGAAGGCACCUGGUGCUGGCUCGGCGGGGAGGCCUAGUCCCUGGACACCCCCUGGCAGGGCUGUGGCCACAGUGCCAGCUGUACCCCCUCAGCUCUCCAAUGGAGGAUGUUCUCUUCCUCCUCCUACCCUGGAUGGCGAAGACGCACUACCUGACCUGGACCUCCUCCCACCUCCGCCACCGCCCACACCGGCAUACCUGCCUCCUCCUGAGGACGAGUCCUCUGCCUCAAUGGGGACAUUACUCAUUUCGGACUUAGAGCAACUGCACCUGCCCCCACCCCCGCCCCCACCACAGGUGUCCCCACAGUCCCUGGUGGAGGGGCCUCCACUCCAGGCUCGGCCCAGUCAUCUCUGGCCUGCAGAGGAGCUCCCGCCUCCCCCAGAAGAAGCUGUUGGCUUCCCCGAAAAAGAGGCAUCCACAGACGUCUGUGCCUUCUGCCACAAGACUGUAUCCCCCCGAGAGCUGGCCGUGGAAGCCAUGAAGAGGCAGUACCACGCCCAGUGCUUCACGUGCCGCACGUGCCGCCGCCAGCUGGCUGGGCAGAGCUUCUACCAGAAGGAUGGGCGGCCCCUCUGCAAACUGUGCUACCAGGAUACCCUGGAGAAGUGUGGCAAGUGUGGUGAGGUGGUCCAGGAACACAUCAUCAGGGCCCUGGGCCGGGCCUUCCACCCAACCUGCUUCACAUGUGUGACCUGUGCCCGGUGUAUCGGGGACGAGAGCUUUGCCCUGGACAACCAGAAUGAAGUGUACUGCCUGGACGACUUCUAUAGGAAAUUUGCCCCUGUGUGCAGCAUUUGUGAGAAUCCCAUCAUCCCCCGAGACGGGAAGGAUGCCUUCAAAAUCGAGUGCAUGGGAAGAAACUUCCAUGAAAACUGCUACAGGUGUGAGGACUGCAGGAUCCUCCUGUCUGUGGAGCCCACGGACCAAGGCUGCUACCCGCUGAAUGACCGCCUUUUCUGCAAGCCGUGCCACGUGAAGCGGAGUGCCGCAGGGUGCUGCUGAGAGCUCCCCCCAGGCCUGGGGGCCCUGAGCCGCCCACCAGCCCCGGUCGGGGGAACCCUUCCCUGACUCGGUUUCCCUUCCUGACCUCCUGCUCUUGCACACUUUCCUUCCGAGCCACAACAGGGACCAGCCCAUCAUGUCCGCAUCAGGGGCUGAGCGACCCCAGCCCCGGCCCCCUCCCAGCUCAGGGCGGGUGGCAGGAGACAGCGCCACUCAGACUUUCACGUCUUCCUCUCCUCUGGGCACUGGAAGCCUUCCAUACCAUAAGCAUCAGGCCCGGGGGGCAUGUCUCUGAGGCUCUGGCCCCUCUCGAGCGCUAGCCUUGACCCCAUUUCCAGGGAUGAGUUGGGUCAAGUCUCCAGGUGGUCUCCUGUGUACCUAGCCGUGACACUUUAGUUGUCCCAUAGGGGGGUGCUGAGAUCAGCUCUGGCUUGCAGGACUGAGCUGUUUUAGUAAAACUCCAAGGUCCCUUAAAAAGCGCUUUUUUAAAAAUGUGAGGUUUAAAUAAUGGAGAACAUUCUUUGGAUGGGGCGUAGGUGGAUCUUAAUAGGAAAUGUCUCCCAUUUGUUCAUAAACGCACAAGAAUGUGACCUGGCGGUGGUGUGGCCAUGGACUUCUCACCUGGGCGACGUGGGCCUAGCUAGGCCUAGCUGCGAAUCUGAAGAGCAGGGGCAGGAGGAGAGGGAGACAUGCUGAGGCCCAAGGACAUCGGCAAGCCCUCCACCCUGCCUCUGGCGUUCCCGUUUGCAACAAGACAGCAAGAGGGGCUGAUAAAGUGAUGUAGGAGUCCUGAGAGGGGAGACGCGUACCCUGGAUUGCUGUCCUCGAAAGGCUAGCCAUCGCAGUGUGCAAACCCAGAGAGAAGCUGCCGACGGACCUGGGCUUUCUGAAGACAGGUGCCGUGUACAGCCACUAGAGGGCAGCAUGGGCUAGCGGACUGGGCGUGGAGCCCUGGGGACCAAUGUUAUCAUGCCUCUGGGGGGGUUAGUCCUCAGCUUUCCAGAUGCAAGAUGGGAAUACUUCCUGCCCGCCCACCGCACGUGAUUGCAGGGAGGAAGAGAGAAGAAAAGAACUGGAAAACAAGACAGUGAACAAGCGAUGUGGCUGUGGAAUUGCUUCAAUUAGAACACAUCUUGGAGGGAGACCCAUGCCUCAGGAGACUGAAUUCCUCAUUCACCCAAACUCCUACCUGCUAGGAGGGUCUCACCUGGGAGCUCCUGCACUGCCACCCUUGCAAGUUGGUACUUGGGAACCUGGGCUCAAUAAGCAUAUAAUCGGGACAGGACCGAAUGGGGUUGCUGGGGAGCCCAGAGCCCUUCUGCCUGUCACCGUCUUCCCAGAGCCCCUUUUACUGGGCCACACCCAGGCGCUCGGAGGUGUGAACUCCACCCAGCAUGUGCCAGCCCCUCCAGGCUGACCCAGUGCUGCUCCCUACACUUGUAGGGACAGAAGUGGUAGAAAUGAGGACGUAAUGGAGAGCAGAAGGGGCUGAGGGGCGGGGAGAGAGGAGAAGGCUGGGCUGCUAGGGAAGAAUCCCGGCCACCACAGGAUAUUUUCAAAGAAAUGGUUUUAUCAAUUUAAAGUGCACUUCUCGUAAAGUGAAUAGCUACUCAAAAAAAAUUUUUUUAAAUCCAAUGAAGUAGGUACUGUUAAUAUCCCAAUUCAGAGCCAAGGAAGUUGCACAUCAGAGAAAUGGUGUAACUGUCCAGGGCUGCACAGCCGAGGUCAAACCAGGUCCAGUGAAACUACAGCCUUCUGCUAUAGACUCAUGUUACAAACACCCAUAUUCUAGAAUGUUCCAGGUGCCAAAAUCCAGCUGAAAAUAAACUACAUGUCUUGUACCUUUCCUCUUCAAAGUUGCCGAUUUUAGGCUGCCAGGCUCUUGCUUGCCAGUGAGAUGUAAUUUCCCCAAUUCAUUCGGAAAGGACCUUGCAUUUGUAGUGUGUGAGCCAUACCAAUCUCGUGAAUGAUCAUCAGGUUAGAGACCAUGGAGCACACCCUGUUCAUGACCUUCCUUCUGGAGAAAAAAAUGUGCGCUUCAGUGGAAAACUACACACUGUCUACAGCACACCUUCUGGAAUUCCAGCCUUUCAUUGUCUUUGAGCUAUUGUACAACUCGGUAAAUGGUAGGUUACUGAUAAAUUCUGUCUCUCUGGUAGAUGGGACCCCUUACCCCCUCAUGGAAAAACCAGUUUUGCCUCCACGUGCACAUUCAUUUCAUUGUUCCUGGCCUAUAACUGUGAAUGUUCUUC